This 122-nucleotide ribosomal RNA is filed under the name Acanthamoeba palestinensis. RNAcentral also lists the same sequence under 4 other names. Lineage: Eukaryota; Discosea; Longamoebia; Acanthamoebidae. The record is from RNAcentral.
GGAUACGGCCAUACUGCGCAGAAAGCACCGCUUCCCAUCCGAACAGCGAAGUUAAGCUGCGCCAGGCGGUGUUAGUACUGGGGUGGGCGACCACCCGGGAAUCCACCGUGCCGUAUCCUCCC